UACGUAGGGUGCAAGCGUUAAUCGGAAUUACUGGGCGUAAAGAGCUCGUAGGCGGCUUGUCGCGUCGACUGUGAAAACCCGUGGCUCAACCAUGUGGUCUGCAGUCGAUACGGGCAGACUUGAGUUCGGUAGGGGAGACUGGAAUUCCUGGUGUAGCGGUGAAAUGCGCAGAUAUCAGGAGGAACACCAAUAGCGAAGGCAGCUCGCUGGGACGGUAUUGACGCUAAGGCGCGAAAGCGUGGGAGCAACAGG
RNAcentral lists this ribosomal RNA (252 nucleotides) under uncultured bacterium. RNAcentral's name for it is "partial 16S ribosomal RNA". It matches the Rfam family "Bacterial small subunit ribosomal RNA", at positions 524 to 776 of the family's 1533-position model. The record is from RNAcentral.